ACGCUGGCGGCGUGCCUAAUACAUGCAAGUAGAACGCUGAAGAGAGGAGCUUGCUCUUCUUGGAUGAGUCGCGAACGGGUGAGUAACGCGUAGGUAACCUGCCUGGUAGCGGGGGAUAACUAUUGGAAACGAUAGCUAAUACCGCAUAAAAUGGAUUGUCGCAUGAUAAUCCAUUGAAAGGUGCAAAUGCAUCACUACCAGAUGGACCUGCGUUGUAUUAGCUAGUUGGUGGGGUAACGGCUCACCAAGGCGACGAUACAUAGCCGACCUGAGAGGGUGAUCGGCCACACUGGGACUGAGACACGGCCCAGACCCCUACGGGAGGCAGCAGUAGGGAAUCUUCGGCAAUGGACAGAAGUCUGACCGAGCAACGCCGCGUGAGUGAAGAAGGUUUUCGGAUCGUAAAGCUCUGUUGUAAGAGAAGAACGAGUGUGAGAGUGGAAAGUUCACACUGUGACGGUAUCUUACCAGAAAGGGACGGCUAACUAUGUGCCAGCAGCCGCGGUAAUACGUAGGUCCCGAGCGUUGUCCGGAUUUAUUGGGCGUAAAGCGAGCGCAGGCGGUUAGAUAAGUCUGAAGUUAAAGGCUGUGGCUUAACCAUAGUACGCUUUGGAAACUGUUUAACUUGAGUGCAAGAGGGGAGAGUGGAAUUCCAUGUGUAGCGGUGAAAUGCGUAGAUAUAUGGAGGAACACCGGUGGCGAAAGCGGCUCUCUGGCUUGUAACUGACGCUGAGGCUCGAAAGCGUGGGGAGCAAACAGGAUUAGAUACCCUGGUAGUCCACGCCGUAAACGAUGAGUGCUAGGUGUUAGACCCUUUCCGGGGUUUAGUGCCGCAGCUAACGCAUUAAGCACUCCGCCUGGGGAGUACGACCGCAAGGUUGAAACUCAAAGGAAUUGACGGGGGCCCGCACAAGCGGUG
Molecule: ribosomal RNA, 919 nt
Filed under: uncultured bacterium
Lineage: Bacteria
Description: bacterial SSU rRNA
Rfam family: Bacterial small subunit ribosomal RNA
Source: RNAcentral